This 26-nucleotide non-coding RNA is filed under the name Cricetulus griseus (Chinese hamster). Lineage: Eukaryota; Metazoa; Chordata; Mammalia; Rodentia; Cricetidae. The record is from RNAcentral.
UUGGAGAGGCAAAGGCAGGUGGAUCU